ACCUGGCUCAGGAUGAACGCUAGCGGCAGGCCUAAUACAUGCAAGUCGAACGGGAUCCAUUUGUAGCUUGCUACUGAUGGUGAGAGUGGCGCACGGGUGCGUAACGCGUGAGCAACCUGCCCAUAUCAGGGGUAUAGCCCGGAGAAAUCCGGAUUAACACCGCAUGAGAUUACAGUUCCGCAUGGGAGAGUAAUUAAAUAUUUAUAGGAUAUGGAUGGGCUCGCGUGACAUUAGCUAGUUGGUAGGGUAACGGCUUACCAAGGCUACGAUGUCUAGGGGCUCUGAGAGGAGAAUCCCCCACACUGGUACUGAGACACGGACCAGACUCCUACGGGAGGCAGCAGUAAGGAAUAUUGGUCAAUGGAGGGAACUCUGAACCAGCCAUGCCGCGUGCAGGAUGACUGCCCUAUGGGUUGUAAACUGCUUUUGUCAGGGAAUAAACCUUUCUACGUGUAGGAAGCUGAAUGUACCUGAAGAAUAAGGAUCGGCUAACUCCGUGCCAGCAGCCGCGGUAAUACGGAGGAUCCGAGCGUUAUCCGGAUUUAUUGGGUUUAAAGGGUGCGUAGGCGGCCCAUUAAGUCAGGGGUGAAAUACGGCAGCUCAACUGUCGCAGUGCCUUUGAUACUGAUGGGCUUGAAUGUGGUUGAAGAUGGCGGAAUGAGACAAGUAGCGGUGAAAUGCAUAGAUAUGUCUCAGAACUCCGAUUGCGAAGGCAGCUAUCUAAGCCAUUAUUGACGCUGAUGCACGAAAGCGUGGGGAUCAAACAGGAUUAGAUACCCUGGUAGUCCACGCCCUAAACGAUGAUAACUCGAUGUUAGCGAUACACAGUUAGCGUCUUAGCGAAAGCGUUAAGUAUCCACUGGAGUGUCGAC
This 872-nucleotide ribosomal RNA is filed under the name Sphingobacterium nematocida. RNAcentral describes it as "bacterial SSU rRNA". It matches the Rfam family "Bacterial small subunit ribosomal RNA", at positions 17 to 873 of the family's 1533-position model. The record is from RNAcentral. Lineage: Bacteria; Pseudomonadati; Bacteroidota; Sphingobacteriia; Sphingobacteriales; Sphingobacteriaceae.